Molecule: ribosomal RNA, 513 nt
Filed under: uncultured bacterium
Lineage: Bacteria
Description: partial 16S ribosomal RNA
Rfam family: Bacterial small subunit ribosomal RNA
Source: RNAcentral
GAUGAGCGCUGGCGGCGUGCCUAAUACAUGCAAGUCGAGCGAACAGACGAGGAGCUUGCUCCUCUGACGUUAGCGGCGGACGGGUGAGUAACACGUGGAUAACCUACCCAUAAGACUGGGAUAACUUCGGGAAACCGGAGCUAAUACCGGAUAAUAUAUUGAACCGCAUGGUUCAAUAGUGAAAGACGGUUUUGCUGUCACUUAUAGAUGGAUCCGCGCCGCAUUAGCUAGUUGGUAAGGUAACGGCUUACCAAGGCAACGAUGCGUAGCCGACCGGGGAGGGUGAUCGGCCACGCUGGGACUGAGACACGGUCCAGACUCCUACGGGAGGCAGCAGUAGGGAAUCUUCCGCAAUGGGCGAAAGCCUGACGGAGCAACGCCGCGUGAGUGAUGAAGGUCUUCGGAUCGUAAAACUCUGUUAUUAGGGAAGAACAAAUGUGUAAGUAACUAUGCACGUCUUGACGGUACCUAAUCAGAAAGCCACGGCUAACUACGUGCCAGCCGCCGCGGUAA